AAAUUAUUUAAAACUGCCAAAAUUUUGCACAUACUUCCUUUCAGGGUUCCAUCAUCCUUUAUCCGUGUACUACCCUAAUCAGAAAUCAAGGUUGAUUCACGAAGCAUGAGACUCUGCAAGUGUUCCUCCAGAAGCAUUCAAAGAUCUAAUACUACAAUACAAUAUCUACAAAUAUUUAUUCUACAUUUAUGAGUUUUAUCCUGAAAACUAUAUUUAUUGGACUUUUUAACCUGAGAACAAGAAUUUUAUAUUACAUGCCUAUAUAUGUACUCUCAAAGUUUACUUUUAAGAACUUAUAUUUAAACAAAGCCUAGCCUAUAAACUUAUCUAAUGGCCCUUAUGUUUCAGAACAUAAUGGGAUAGAUUUUAUUAAAAGAUUGUCCUGUUAGCUCCAGGUUGUGCACUCAAGUUAAUAAUCUCGUGUCACCACCUGUUCUACCUGAACUCUGAACUUUAAAUAUAAACAGAUAAGCCUGCUGAUCAACUCACUAUCCUCGAACCUGGUCUUCUCCCCCAGGACGGAUGGAUUUGUUCCUCUGAUCUGAGUUGCUACUCAGAUCCUCGUCAUCACAAGCCUGCAGUAGCUGCCAUCUCUCCGCCGCUGCUGCCAUCUCUCCGCCGUUGCUGCGAUCUCUCCGCCGUAGCUGCUAUCUCUCCGCCGAUGCUGCGAUCUCUCCGCCGUAGCUGCCAUCUCUCCGCCGUUGCUGCGAUCUCUCCGCCUUAGCUACCAUCUCUCCGCCGUAGCUGCGAUCUCUCCUUGGAUGAAGUAAAACUACGCUUCUCUCCAAACCCAACAGCUUGAAGAUAAAGCUUAAUUACAAAAGGUGAAGAUCAACAGAUUGAAACUAAUCACUCAAAGGAUUAAAUGAACUAAUUUAAUCUCGUUCAGAUAUCUCCUCUAUCAACCCUGAGUGCAAGGUCAACUCCUUUAAGCUGAUCUCACCUGUACCUUCUAUUCUCCAGUCUCUGUCGGGAUAACAAUAGUUUCUUGUGAUGAGUGUGAACUACUUUUUCGAGUUGUGAACAAUUGAAAACACAUAUUUAAAGUUAAAGACUAUAUCUUUCAAAUGAACUCACCGUGAUAUUUUUAGUUGUGUACGAGAUAUGUUGGCUAAAAUCUAAAGAGCUAUUAACCUCCGGCCUAAUCAACUUUGUAAGUGCAUUUUUAAAUCACAUUAAUACGUCAUGAAAUAUUCACAUUACACACCUGGAGCAAAUUUUAUUGGCAAACUUUACAUUUUACGAUUUAUUUAAUAUUCAUAAUAUAAAUAAUCUAACCGUGACUGAUUUUGUGUUUUUCAGUUUCACGGCUUAGAGCUAUUGUUCCUGUAUCUAUAGACUAAAUAAAUAAGAUUAAGCAAGA
This is a long non-coding RNA of Eurytemora carolleeae, 1363 nucleotides long. RefSeq lists it as uncharacterized. The transcript is spliced from 4 exons. The record is from RefSeq and is a predicted model, not a curated record. NCBI's taxonomy places the organism in Eukaryota, Metazoa, Arthropoda, Copepoda, Calanoida, Temoridae.